UACUUGAACUUGUUCUGGAUUGAUAAAGUGAACAUGCGUAUCAAUCGCUCCCGCUGUCACGAUUAAGCCUUCACCUGCAAUUACUUCUGUAGCCGCUCCAACAACAAUGUCAACAUUGUCCAUAAUUAACGGAUUUCCGCUUUUUCCGAUGCCAAAUAUUUUGCCGUCGCGAAUCGCAAGGUCAGCCUUUACAAUUCCUGUGUAGUCAAAAAUGAUAACGUUUGUGAUCACUGUAUCCGGUACGCCAUCUUCGCGCGUAGCAAGUGGAUGUUGUCCCAUUCCAUCACGAA
This 290-nucleotide small RNA is filed under the name Planococcus sp. PAMC 21323. RNAcentral's name for it is "5' ureB small RNA". It matches the Rfam family "5' ureB small RNA". The record is from Rfam by way of RNAcentral. Lineage: Bacteria; Bacillati; Bacillota; Bacilli; Caryophanales; Caryophanaceae.